RNAcentral lists this ribosomal RNA (429 nucleotides) under uncultured bacterium. Its description in RNAcentral is "bacterial SSU rRNA". It matches the Rfam family "Bacterial small subunit ribosomal RNA", at positions 355 to 776 of the family's 1533-position model. The record is from RNAcentral.
UGGGGAAUAUUGGACAAUGGGGGCAACCCUGAUCCAGCGAUGCCGCGUGUGCGAAGAAGGCCUGCGGGUUGUAAAGCACUUUGGUUGGGGAAGAAGGUUGGUAGAUGAAUAGUCUACUGAAUUGACGUUACCCAAAGAACAAGCACCGGCUAACUCUGUGCCAGCAGCCGCGGUAAUACAGAGGGUGCGAGCGUUAAUCGGAAUUACUGGGCGUAAAGGGUGCGUAGGCGGUUAUAUAAGUUAGAUGUGAAAUCCCCGGGCUUAACCUGGGAAUUGCAUUUAAGACUGUAAGACUAGAGUAGAGUAGAGGGAAGUGGAAUUUCCGGUGUAGCGGUGAAAUGCGUAGAUAUCGGAAAGAACAUCAGUGGCGAAGGCGGCUUCCUGGACUCAUACUGACGCUGAGGCACGAAAGCAUGGGGAGCAAACAGG